Manis javanica (Malayan pangolin) is the source of this 111-nucleotide small nuclear RNA. The record is from RefSeq and is a predicted model, not a curated record. NCBI's taxonomy places the organism in Eukaryota, Metazoa, Chordata, Mammalia, Pholidota, Manidae.
UACUUAAAAAGACAAAUAAAUAAAUAAAUAUGAAACAAUACAGAGAAGAACAAACAGUAUAGGCCCUGUGCAAGGAUGACACACAAAUUUGGAGAGAGUUCCAUAGUUUUA